GUCUCUGUGGCGCAAUCGGUUAGCGCGUUCGGCUGUUAACCGAAAGGUUGGUGCUUCAAGCCCACGAUAGGACG
This is a non-coding RNA of Nematostella vectensis (starlet sea anemone), 74 nucleotides long. NCBI's taxonomy places the organism in Eukaryota, Metazoa, Cnidaria, Anthozoa, Actiniaria, Edwardsiidae. The record is from Rfam.